AUGCACUGGUCCGGCCGGGCCUUUCCCCCUGUGGAACCUCAUGCCCUUCACUGGGUGUGUGGGAAAACAGGACUUUUACUUUGAAAAAAUUAGAGUGCUCCAGGCAGGCCUAUGCUCGAAUACAUUAGCAUGGAAUAAUAGAAUAGGACGUGUGGUUCUAUUUUGUUGGUUUCUAGGACCGCCGUAAUGAUUAAUAGGGACAGUCGGGGGCAUCAGUAUUCAAUUGUCAGAGGUGAAAUUCUUGGAUUUAUUGAAGACUAACUACUGCGAAAGCAUUUGCCAAGGAUGUUUUCAUUUAUCAGGAACGAAAGUUAGGGGAUCGAAGACGAUCAGAUACCGUCGUAGUCUUAACCAUAAACUAUGCCGACUAGGAGAUCGGACGAUGUUAUUUUUUGACUCGUUCGGCACCUUACGAGAAAAUCAAAGUGCUUGGGCUCCAGGGGGAGUAUGGUCGCAAGGCUGAAACUUAAAGAAAUUGACGGAAGGGCACCACCAGGGGUGGAGCCUGCGGCUUAAUUUGACUCAACACGGG
Molecule: ribosomal RNA, 532 nt
Filed under: Colletotrichum gloeosporioides
Lineage: Eukaryota; Fungi; Ascomycota; Sordariomycetes; Glomerellales; Glomerellaceae
Description: SSU rRNA
Rfam family: Eukaryotic small subunit ribosomal RNA
Source: RNAcentral